CAAUAGCGUAUAUUUAAGUUGUUGCAGUUAAAAAGCUCGUAGUCGGAUUUUGGCUGAGAACGAUCGGUCCGCCGUUAGGUGUGCACUGAUUGGUCUCAGCUUCCUGGUGAGGAGGUGUGCUUCACGGCCACUUAGUCACCGUGGUUACUUUGAAAAAAUUAGAGUGUUCAAAGCGGGCUUACGCUUGAAUAUAUUAGCAUGGAAUAACACCAUAGGACUCCUGUCCUAUUUCGUUGGUCUCGGGACGGGAGUAAUGAUUAAGAGGAACAGUUGGGGGCAUUCGUAUUUCAUUGUCAGAGGUGAAAUUCUUGGAUUUAUGAAAGACGAACUUCUGCGAAAGCAUUUGCCGAGGAUGUUUUCAUUGA
This 365-nucleotide ribosomal RNA is filed under the name uncultured eukaryote. Its description in RNAcentral is "partial 18S ribosomal RNA". It matches the Rfam family "Eukaryotic small subunit ribosomal RNA", at positions 592 to 976 of the family's 1831-position model. The record is from RNAcentral.